RNAcentral lists this ribosomal RNA (253 nucleotides) under uncultured bacterium. Its description in RNAcentral is "partial 16S ribosomal RNA". It matches the Rfam family "Bacterial small subunit ribosomal RNA", at positions 524 to 776 of the family's 1533-position model. The record is from RNAcentral.
UACGUAGGGACCAAGCGUUGUUCGGAUUUACUGGGCGUAAAGGGCGCGUAGGCGGCGUGGUAAGUCACUUGUGAAAUCUCUGAGCUUAACUCAGAACGGCCAAGUGAUACUGCUGUGCUAGAGUGCAGAAGGGGCAAUCGGAAUUCUUGGUGUAGCGGUGAAAUGCGUAGAUAUCAAGAGGAACACCGGUGGCGAAGGCGGCGAUCUGGACGAUGACUGACGCUGAGACGCGAAAGCGUGGGGAGCAAACAGG